RNAcentral lists this transfer RNA (84 nucleotides) under compost metagenome. RNAcentral's name for it is "tRNA-Leu". It matches the Rfam family "tRNA". From Rfam's summary of the family: Transfer RNA (tRNA) molecules are approximately 80 nucleotides in length. Their secondary structure includes four short double-helical elements and three loops (D, anti-codon, and T loops). The record is from RNAcentral.
UGCCCGUAUGGUGGAAUGGUAGACACAGCAAGUUUAAGCCUUGCUUCCUUUGUGAGUGUGGGUUCGACUCCCUCUGCGGGUAUC